RNAcentral lists this ribosomal RNA (497 nucleotides) under uncultured bacterium. Its description in RNAcentral is "partial 16S ribosomal RNA". It matches the Rfam family "Bacterial small subunit ribosomal RNA", at positions 28 to 507 of the family's 1533-position model. The record is from RNAcentral.
GAUGAACGCUGGCGGCGUGCCUAAUACAUGCAAGUCGAGCGAACAGACGAGGAGCUUGCUCCUUUGACGUUAGCGGCGGACGGGUGAGUAACACGUAGGUAACCUACCUAUAAGACUGGGAUAACUUCGGGAAACCGGAGCUAAUACCGGAUAAUAUUUCGAACCGCAUGGUUCGAUAGUGAAAGAUGGCUUUGCUAUCACUUAUAGAUGGACCUGCGCCGUAUUAGCUAGUUGGUAAGGUAACGGCUUACCAAGGCAACGAUACGUAGCCGACCUGAGAGGGUGAUCGGCCACACGGGAACUGAGACACGGUCAAGACUCCUACGGGAGGCAGCAGUAGGGAAUCGUCCGCAAUGGGCGAAAGCCUGACGGAGCAACGCCGCGUGAGUGAUGAAGGUCUUCGGAUCGUAAAACUCUGUUAUUAGGGAAGAACAAACGUGUAAGUAACUGUGCACGUCGUGACGGUACCUAAUCAGAAAGCCACGGCUAACUACGUG